AGCAUGUUCAACCCCUCUUACAAAAUAUAACACAGAGCAAACCUCAAAACUAAACGACAAUGAUGUUUCUACCGCACUGACUAAGAAAAAGGAUAAAAGGUUUCUAUCUAAUCCUAAUAGCUCUUGAAGAUACCAGUGAUAGGUUUACGACACUUUGGACAGUCAUCGCCAAUGAGAGGACGAAGGCAUCCUGCGCAAAACCGGUGUCCACACGGCAGAAGGGUUCUCCACCCGGAUGGGAUGCUAUAGCAGAUCUCACAUUGACAUCGAUGCUGCAACUCCCGGAUUUUAGUCUCAAGGUUGCUGAACAGCUCAUCCUUCAUAGUCGUCUCUGCACGCAGGUGCUGCACUUCUUCUUCCAGCGUCUGCACUUCUUCCUCCAGCUUCCUCCUCUUCGCACGCUCCGCCUCGAAAAUGGUAUGAAUUUCCUGAUUCGCCGUUUCCUAUCUCAAUAUCAGCGAGGAAAUAUCCCCAAGAGUCUCACUGGGAAAGGUCUUACCAAAACCGUGUCCAGGUUGGAUAUUUUUUGUUUUUUCGGUGGCCACUCCAUUUCGGACUCCAGAGCAUCAGAGGACACUAAAUCAUCAGAUGGACCAUCAUAGGUUGGAUAGCUGUAGUCUGUGAAGGUUCUCUUUCUUUGUGACCUUCGCGUCCCUUGUGCCAGGGGCUGUUCGUCCGUCUCGUCUGAAAUGAUGAUGACAGUGCGGGAACUAUCGGCUGACGCCAUAGCUAAGAGAUGGAAAGAUGGUCGUGUCGUAGAUCAGCAAAGAGGAGUGACGAAGAGCUCCAGAGAGGGCUUGGCGGAAGGUUUCGGUCGACGGUGUAGGAUGGGAGGUGGAAAGGGAAUUGAAAGAA
RNAcentral lists this small RNA (855 nucleotides) under Histoplasma capsulatum var. duboisii H88. RNAcentral describes it as "Histoplasma capsulatum H88 hypothetical RNA". Lineage: Eukaryota; Fungi; Ascomycota; Eurotiomycetes; Onygenales; Ajellomycetaceae. The record is from RNAcentral.